This 274-nucleotide long non-coding RNA is filed under the name Ananas comosus (pineapple). RNAcentral describes it as "long non-coding RNA (ACOM_LNC016583)". Lineage: Eukaryota; Viridiplantae; Streptophyta; Magnoliopsida; Poales; Bromeliaceae. The record is from RNAcentral.
AAGUUGGGUUUCAUUUUGUAGUAAAGUACCCUAUGAUCAUCUUUUGGUACAUGAUGAUAAAUGAUGUAAAGAAAAGAAUGUAAUGUGUAUUUUGAGGUAAAUGUGAUGUAAGAAAGACAUGAUGAAAUGAUGUAAUGAAUGUAAGAAAUCGAUAAAUUACAAGUUGGAUGUAAUGUAUAUGAUCUAAACUGAAUCAUAGUACAGAAUAAAUGCUAGUUUCCUAUCUUUCACUCGUGGCUAUUUCUUACCCUCGUGUAAGCCGUUUGUGUAUGUU